AUGACACUAAAACUCCCUGCUCUCUGUUUCUUCAGAGACUGCAAACCAGUGUCUGUGCUUCUCGGCUGGGUGGGAGCAGGGGUCAAAGCCCACCACAGGAAAGAGACCGUCCCUCUGCCAGGCACGGCCGUGCCAACGCCAGGAGGUGGCACGGGGAAAGCACCACGGAAGGCAGAGAGAAAAAUGGUGCAAAAAAGGCAAAAAGCUUCAACCACAGAAGCCACAGCCACAGAUGAUUUUAAUUCCUCUUUUCUAUCCACUUCAUCUUUUCAGGUCAUUGACGCUAAUGGGCUGUAGUGGAAGUGAAGUAAAUAAUUACCUAUGCUAGAGAUAUAACAUUGAUUUUUUUAAGUCUUUUCUCACUAAUUAGUGACAGCCUUUGUAGGGAGUGACGGCAGGGCUUAACGACCCUGACAGCCUGCCGCCUGCUCAGGCUGCAAGAAAAUCAAAGCAACACAGAAGAAAAGGAAAAAGAAAAGGCCUUAAAACUUGCUUUUACUUUCAUUUUGGUUUUAGCAAAACUGUAUUAGGUUAAUUUUAAAAAAAUUACUGGGUGUUUUUGUUGACCUAUGGGUGUAUGGUAAUUUUCAAUAACUUCUUAAAAAAUAAUUCCAGUUUAGUGCUCAGUCCAAAUAACCCAUGCCCACGGUAGGUACCAGUCACCGUAAGGUCACUGCAGGGGAAAAAAGGUUUUCACCAUUUGAUAAUUCUUGUAGUUUUGUUACUUAAUUGAACAGGAGUUAGUGUAAGCGUUAAUGAGUCCUACUGAGGUGUCUUCAUCCCGUACCUGCACGGCUCCCAGGUACAGCCAGGAACCUUCUUGAAAGUGAACGCUGGGAAUUCACUUGUGUUUGCUCCUAAAUUUUUGCUAAAUGAGGCUUCUCUUUGCUAAUACAAUAAUAAUACAUCUUAAGGGUUGGAUUUUUUUCCCCCUCUUAAAAGAAUGACUUUUUAAAUACAGAUAAGCAGUAAGUAUGAUUCUCAGCUCUCCUGUGAUUAUGCCACUCUGUAUUUAUAAGCUAAAAAAAUUGUUAUAAAGAUACAUGCCUACCCAACAACAAAAAAAAAGGUUUGGAAAAGUUAACAAAAAUGGUAGCCUGGCCAGCCAGUGCAGCUCAUCUUAUUUGUACUCAUUCAAAGGCCUUGAAGAAGGUUUAGAUAAGAGAAGGUGCAGGUCAGUACAGUCCUGGGCUGAGGUAUAAUAUGGAUGAGGAACUAAUUCAGACAGAAAACCCCAGAACAACUGCCAGUUCUCAUCAGAAAAUGUGGUUCUCGAAGAUGGGUAAUGGGAGCUGGUUUUGGGUUUCUUAAGGAACGCCUUAAAGGCCAGAAAAUAAGUGUGAAGAGGAAUUCUUUCUCAUGCACUUUUCUACUUGAAAGACUGAUAUAAAAGUAGGACGUCAUUCUCCUCACUCACCGAGCCUCGUUCUAUUCCCUCACUGGGAGUAGCCACAGUGAUCACUGUUACAGAAUUUUACCCUCUCUCCAGUGGUAAUUCAACAGCAGCCAGUCUGGUCAGGUUUGUAAUCACUUGCCUUUGGUUGCUCUUGGUUGUUUUGUUCUUUGCUGUCCCUGUGGUACCCACCACAGAUGCCAGAGACUCCCAGAGUCUUGGAAGAGGUGACUGAUGGCUGCAAGGACAGUGCUGCUGGGAAAGACCACCUCUGGGAAAGGAGCACCAAGGAGAAGACAAACUGGGGAGAGGAAAAGGGCUCCAGAGGUGCAGUGUGAGACGCAGAACAAGUGGGAAGGCAGCCCAACCCACGGAACUGGGAUCUUGCAUCAUCACAUCCUGAUGUAAAGGACUGAGCUCCACAAAAGCUUCUCCUUGGAAAUUCAGCAACUGGAAAGGAGACUGUUCUUAACAAAGCAGAGUUUUAAUAAAAAGGUUUAAGGCUUACA
This 1902-nucleotide long non-coding RNA is filed under the name Calidris pugnax (ruff). RNAcentral describes it as "lncRNA (ENSCPUG00000013770.1)". The record is from RNAcentral. Lineage: Eukaryota; Metazoa; Chordata; Aves; Charadriiformes; Scolopacidae.